GAGAGCCAAUAUUCCAAUAAAUCGUCUAAUAAAGAUCUUAUUGAAUUAAAAACCCCCAUUACUGAGUACAAAUACACUUUUUCCAUUUUUUUUCAUUCGCCUGGUAAACGAUGACUACCAAUAAGUUUAGUAAAAGCGAAUUUUGGUUUCUUACUGCAGCUAUUUUAGUUGUUGUGAAUGGAGAAGAUGAUAUUGCAAGGAAUAAAUUAACGUUCCAGAGCACAACAACUUAUCCAAAUAUUGCAAGUUUGGCUACUGAUAGUACAAUUGAAAUUAAUGAUCCUAUUAAAUGCUCGAAAACGAACCAAAUUCUAGAGAAAGCCUGGUGGACAGUUGAUCUGGAGAAGGUGUAUAGUGUUGAAAAAGUUUGCAUUUUGAAUGGAAAUAUACCGGAUGCUGCGAACCUCACUAAUUUCGUCAUUAAAGUAUCAAAUUUUCCGAUGGAAGGCGAAAUAUGCGCAACUGUAUCUUCGUCAAUAAAAAUACCAAUGUCAACAACUGCAAACGAUUACGAGUGUUUUGGGUGUAGUCCCGCAAUAGUUGGGUCUUUUGUGUAUAUUGAACACCAACAGAAUGGGGCUGAUUUGCAGUUGUGCGACGUUAAAGUGUCUGGUACAUUUGUAAAAGAUAGAGAUUAUUCUGCAUUAAAAAUGACAUCGAAUGAUCUGUACGGUGUAGCAUUUUCCAGUGCGCAGAGACAUUUCAAUAAGGCGAUUGAUAACGAUUACAGUACUUAUUAUCAAGCGGAAAUAUCCGUUAAUAAACCAUAUAUUAUGGUUCGUCUACCAACUCUAACUCAAAUUGUUGCAGUUUUGUUAAUUCCCGGCUUAAAUGAAUUAACUUCAAAGAGUCUUCAAAGAACCUUUGUUAAUAUUAAACAUAUUCCAGACACAUUCACACAUAUGACUUAUAAGAUGUGUUUCCACAACAACUUUCUAAGUGAUAAAGGAUUAUACGAGGCUGUUUUCAAAAAGUGCAAUAUCGAUUUAUCCGGUAGAUAUAUCUAUAUAGGAUCAAAGCCUUCGGCCAAUUCAAUUUUUGAACUAACUGAGCUUGUUAUCUAUGGAAAAGAAAGAGAAAAAACGUUUACAUAUUCUCAGGGAUUAUCUCGUAAAGAAAAUAUUCAAUCAAUUCUUAUCAAUGGAACAAAUUUAGAUAGUGCUACAAUACCAAUUUGAUUAUUGCUUUCAACUCAUCACUCUUAAACCACGUUUGUCUGACAAUGAAACAUAAGAAUAUUAAAUGGAUACAAAAUCCUUAUAUAACUCUUGAGGAUUUGUUAACUGGUAAUACAACUACACACCAAUUUUUCUACAGUUUUAAAUCAAUCAAUACUGUUUGUCAACAAUUUUCAAUAUCUUUACUGGAAAAAGUUGUAUUAGAAUUUACAGAUUUUCAUGAAAUUUCCGAAAUUGACCUUCAUGGACUUACAUUGAUGACUUACGAUUGUAGUUAUAUAAUAAGAUAUAAUAUUCAUAUUUCUUUUGAGAAAUACUAGAUAAUUUGUGUUCAUUUUCUGUUUUUUAAGAUUCCGAUACCUGUUCCUUAUCGCAACGAGAAAUUAGCUUGACAAAGUCUUCUGGAUGGACUGCCAACAUUCCUCACGUUGUUGAAAUUAUCGGCGAUGAAUUGAACAAGAACAUGCUAGUAACAACGCGUGUUGCCUCCGCUAGCGGGUUAUCAAGACAACUGUGCAGCUAUAGAAGCUCAUUUUUUCCAAUAGGAAAAUCAAUUUUCGUAUGUAAUUCAUUUGAAGAGAAACUUAUUGUUCAUCCUUUUGAAAAUAUUGCUAAUAUCAAAAAAAUUAGUUUUUAUAAAUAAACACAAAACACGCAUUCAGC
This 1841-nucleotide unclassified non-coding RNA is filed under the name Dimorphilus gyrociliatus. RNAcentral's name for it is "fTP domain-containing protein". Lineage: Eukaryota; Metazoa; Annelida; Polychaeta; Dinophilidae. The record is from RNAcentral.